RNAcentral lists this transfer RNA (85 nucleotides) under Felis catus (domestic cat). It matches the Rfam family "tRNA". Rfam says of the family: Transfer RNA (tRNA) molecules are approximately 80 nucleotides in length. Their secondary structure includes four short double-helical elements and three loops (D, anti-codon, and T loops). The record is from Rfam by way of RNAcentral. RNAcentral also lists the same sequence under 5 other names. Lineage: Eukaryota; Metazoa; Chordata; Mammalia; Carnivora; Felidae.
GCCUGGGUGGCUCAGUAGGUUAAGCGUCUGACUUCGGCUCAGGUAAUGAUCUCACGGUUUGUGAGUUCGAGCCCCACCUUGGGCU